GACGAACCGUCCUAACGUUGUUCGGAAUCACUGGGCUUAAAGGGCGCGUAGGCGGGCUCUCAAGUCCGGGGUGAAAUCUUUCGGCUCAACCGGAAAAUAGCCUUGGAUACUGGGAGUCUCGAGGGAGGUAGGGGCGGGUGGAACUUCCGGUGGAGCGGUGAAAUGCGUUGAUAUCGGAAGGAACGCCGGUGGCGAAAGCGACCCGCUGGACCUCUUCUGACGCUGAGGCGCGACAGCGUGGGGAGCAAACAGG
RNAcentral lists this ribosomal RNA (253 nucleotides) under uncultured bacterium. Its description in RNAcentral is "partial 16S ribosomal RNA". It matches the Rfam family "Bacterial small subunit ribosomal RNA", at positions 524 to 776 of the family's 1533-position model. The record is from RNAcentral.